GACCUUGAAAUACCACCCUUUAAUGUUUGAUGUUCUAACGUUGACCCGUGAUCCGGGUUGCGGACAGUGUCUGGUGGGUAGUUUGACUGGGGCGGUCUCCUCCUAAAGAGUAACGGAGGAGCACGAAGGUUGGCUAAUCCUGGUCGGACAUCAGGAGGUUAGUGCAAUGGCAUAAGCCAGCUUGACUGCGAGCGUGACGGCGCGAGCAGGUGCGAAAGCAGGUCAUAGUGAUCCGGUGGUUCUGAAUGGAAGGGCCAUCGCUCAACGGAUAAAAGGUACUCCGGGGAUAACAGGCUGAUACCGCCCAAGAGUUCAUAUCGACGGCGGUGUUUGGCACCUCGAUGUCGGCUCAUCACAUCCUGGGGCUGAAGUAGGUCCCAAGGGUAUGGCUGUUCGCCAUUUAAAGUGGUACGCGAGCUGGGUUUAGAACGUCGUGAGACAGUUCGGUCCCUAUCUGCCGUGGGCGCUGGAGAACUGAGGGGGGCUGCUCCUAGUACGAGAGGACCGGAGUGGACGCAUCACUGGUGU
This 528-nucleotide ribosomal RNA is filed under the name Escherichia coli. RNAcentral's name for it is "bacterial LSU rRNA". It matches the Rfam family "Bacterial large subunit ribosomal RNA", at positions 2188 to 2715 of the family's 2925-position model. The record is from RNAcentral. Lineage: Bacteria; Pseudomonadati; Pseudomonadota; Gammaproteobacteria; Enterobacterales; Enterobacteriaceae.